Molecule: ribosomal RNA, 443 nt
Filed under: uncultured bacterium
Lineage: Bacteria
Description: bacterial SSU rRNA
Rfam family: Bacterial small subunit ribosomal RNA
Source: RNAcentral
AACGAACGCUGGCGGCAUGCCUAACACAUGCAAGUCGAACGAAGCCUUCGGGCUUAGUGGCGCACGGGUGCGUAACACGUGGGAAUCUGCCCUUCGGUUCGGAAUAACAGUUAGAAAUGACUGCUAAUACCGGAUGAUGACGUAAGUCCAAAGAUUUAUCGCCGAAGGAUGAGCCCGCGUAGGAUUAGGUAGUUGGUAGGGUAAUGGCCUACCAAGCCGACGAUCCUUAGCUGGUCUGAGAGGAUGAUCAGCCACACUGGGACUGAGACACGGCCCAGACUCCUACGGGAGGCAGCAGUGGGGAAUAUUGGACAAUGGGCGAAAGCCUGAUCCAGCAAUGCCGCGUGAGUGAUGAAGGCCUUAGGGUUGUAAAGCUCUUUUACCAGGGAUGAUAAUGACAGUACCUGGAGAAUAAGCUCCGGCUAACUCCGUGCCAGCAGCCG